GUCUAGUACUCAGAGUUUGAUCCUGGCUCAGGAUGAACGCUAGCGGCAGGCCUAACACAUGCAAGUCGAGCGGGAUCCACCUUCGGGUGGUGAGAGCGGCGCACGGGUGCGUAACGCGUAUGCAACCUACCUUUUGCUACGGGAUAGCCCAGGGAAACUUGGAUUAACACCGUAUAGUAUACAGCUUCCUCAUGGGGAUUGUAUUAAAGGCUACGGCAAAAGAUGGGCAUGCGUCCUAUUAGCUAGAUGGUAAGGUAACGGCUUACCAUGGCAACGAUAGGUAGGGGCCCUGAGAGGGGGAUCCCCCACACUGGUACUGAGACACGGACCAG
Molecule: ribosomal RNA, 332 nt
Filed under: uncultured bacterium
Lineage: Bacteria
Description: bacterial SSU rRNA
Rfam family: Bacterial small subunit ribosomal RNA
Source: RNAcentral